This 65-nucleotide non-coding RNA is filed under the name Streptomyces phage R4. The record is from RNAcentral. Lineage: Duplodnaviria; Heunggongvirae; Uroviricota; Caudoviricetes.
UGCCGAAACACCCUUCGGGGUGUCGGGGUGGGGUGGCGCUCACCUCCUGACGAUGGCAGCCACGA